This 433-nucleotide ribosomal RNA is filed under the name uncultured bacterium. RNAcentral's name for it is "partial 16S ribosomal RNA". It matches the Rfam family "Bacterial small subunit ribosomal RNA", at positions 29 to 507 of the family's 1533-position model. The record is from RNAcentral.
AACGAACGCUGGCGGCAUGCCUAACACAUGCAAGUCGAACGAUCCCUUCGGGGAUAGUGGCGCACGGGUGCGUAACGCGUGGGAACCUGCCCUUAGGUUCGGAAUAACUCAGAGAAAUUUGGGCUAAUACCGGAUAAUGUCUUCGGACCAAAGAUUUAUCGCCUUUGGAUGGGCCCGCGUUGGAUUAGCUAGUUGGUGGGGUAAAGGCCUACCAAGGCGACGAUCCAUAGCUGGUCUGAGAGGAUGAUCAGCCACACUGGGACUGAGACACGGCCCAGACUCCUACGGGAGGCAGCAGUGGGGAAUAUUGGACAAUGGGCGAAAGCCUGAUCCAGCAAUGCCGCGUGAGUGAUGAAGGCCUUAGGGUUGUAAAGCUCUUUUACCCGGGAUGAUAAUGACAGUACCGGGAGAAUAAGCCCCGGCUAACUCCGUG